GACGAACGCUGGCGGCGUGCUUAACACAUGCAAGUCGAACGGAAAGGCCCUGCUUUUGUGGGGUGCUCGAGUGGCGAACGGGUGAGUAACACGUGAGUAACCUGCCCUUGACUUUGGGAUAACUUCAGGAAACUGGGGCUAAUACCGGAUAGGAGCUCCUGCUGCAUGGUGGGGGUUGGAAAGUUUCGGCGGUUGGGGAUGGACUCGCGGCUUAUCAGCUUGUUGGUGGGGUAGUGGCUUACCAAGGCUUUGACGGGUAGCCGGCCUGAGAGGGUGACCGGCCACAUGGGGACUGAGAUACGGCCCAGACUCCUACGGGAGGCAGCAGUGGGGAAUAUUGCACAAUGGGCGGAAGCCUGAUGCAGCAACGCCGCGUGCGGGAUGACGGCCUUCGGGUUGUAAACCGCUUUCGCCUGUGACGAAGCGUGAGUGACGGAAAUGGGUAAAGAAGCACCGGCUAACUACG
Molecule: ribosomal RNA, 466 nt
Filed under: uncultured bacterium
Lineage: Bacteria
Description: partial 16S ribosomal RNA
Rfam family: Bacterial small subunit ribosomal RNA
Source: RNAcentral